CUCUCUCUCUCUCUCUCUCUCUCUCUCUCUCUCUCUCUCUCUCUCUCUCUAUCUUCAACCCCCCGAAUUGAUUUUUCUGCUUGAUUUUAUAAACCCACAAGAAAACAGAAAAAAUAAAGGAAAAAAGGAGGAAAAAGUCACUCUUUUCAUCUCUCUUCAGCCACUUGUCCUCGAUCUCCGUGCAUCAGAAAGGCCCUGGUGGGCCCGGUGGGCCCGGUGGCCCGCCGAAGAGCGGCCCGCAGCAGUCUUGAAUGAGGAAACAGCAGCACAGGAAGUACAGGCUGCCAACAACCAUUCCACCGACCAAACGCAAUAAUUAGAUCAUUAUCACCCCUAAUAUUAAUCUUUAAAAUAAAAAUACUGCCUGUUAGAUAAAUAAAUUCUGCAUAAUAUAGGCUGGUUAGUUAAUCUAGAAUAUCUCAUCACCGUUUUCAGUAAGAAAAUGAAUAUUUGACCAUUUAUUAAACAUUUUUUUAGUGAGGGUGAUGGCCAUAAAUCUGUGAUUCAUUCACCCCUAAAAAAAGAUUUAUGCAUACAAAAUAUAUUUUUUUUUCAUGGGUGCCGGUGUCUUCUUAGCUUGAGCCGAAAAUGUGGGAUUUUCUGACGUGGAAAUUCCAAAAUUGGCUGUCUAUUUAUUGAAAAAUAGAAAUCAACGAACACAGACCAAAAUCUUGCGAAUAUUUUGACUAGAAAGCUUGGUAUCUGCCAGCUGAUGCUAACUUACCAGGAGGGAAUGCAGCCGCCGAAGAAGCCAGGGCCUCCCCCCCACCCGCCGCCCAUUCCCGGCGGCCCUCCGGGGAGCGGCGCCCAUCCGCCGCCGCCUGGCCCCCAGCCACCCGGCCCUCCGCCGCCUGGUCCCCAUCCCCCGCCACCGCCACCACCCGGCCCUCCGCCGCCACCCGGCCCUCCGCCUGGACCCAUCCUCCGCCGCCGGAGUAAACCAGAUAAGAACCCCUUCCUCUUCGCCGGUGCAGCCCGCGAGACCCGGGGCGACGCCCGCCGCUUGCUCUGAUUUGUAGUGGGUGUCUAUCUCUCUCUCUCUCUCUCUCUCUAUCUAUAUCUCUCUCUCUCUAUAUCCAUCCGACAGUCGCACCGCCGCAUGCGCCGCUCUAACCGUCCUGGGAAGCGGCGGCCCAACGGCCGGUCUCCAGCUUCCGGUCUGUCGGGAGAUCGCCAGGUCCUAUGGGGGGCAGCCACGUGGAGUUCUGCCAUUGACCUUGGCAGUCAACUGCCGAGUUGACCUGAGGCAGCUGCUAAUGGGCUCACCCGGGCAGGCCUGUAGCCCAUCAAGUCCCUCAUUCGUCCAGUUUUCGGCAAGAAUUUCUAGCAGAGUUUAUGGUUCUGGAAAUGUCUAGUUAAGGAAAAGUCAAACUUCUCCAUCGUCUGGUGAAACUGUUC
This 1398-nucleotide long non-coding RNA is filed under the name Spirodela polyrhiza (greater duckweed). RNAcentral describes it as "long non-coding RNA (SPOL_LNC002360)". The record is from RNAcentral. Lineage: Eukaryota; Viridiplantae; Streptophyta; Magnoliopsida; Alismatales; Araceae.